Long non-coding RNA from Symphalangus syndactylus (siamang), 1438 nucleotides. RefSeq lists it as uncharacterized. Lineage: Eukaryota; Metazoa; Chordata; Mammalia; Primates; Hylobatidae. The record is from RefSeq and is a predicted model, not a curated record.
GCCGGGGCAUGUUGGGCUGGGGCUCCCUCAGCAGCGGCAGCACCGAUACCUGGCAGCCCUUGGAUGCAGCCACGCCCCACAGCAGAUACCUCACACCGAACGGGCCGGGGAGGCUUGGCUUCAGACCCUGAGCCCAGUGCUGACUAGAGAGAAGCAGAAAGAGAGCACUCUCGAGGGACACAGACAGACAAUUCUCAAAGCCAACAGAGCUGGGGCAAAUUUUUCAACUUAAUAUUUUUCUUCCAAAGAGCCUGAGCUCAGUACUUGAAACCUGUAAGCUAAGGACAUCUUCCAAGCUUCAGAAGGAAAAAUCACAAGGGGCCUAUGACCAAAAGGAUAAGUGAGCUUCCGAGGGAGGCUGAUGUGGGAUUGCAGAAGCAGGAGCAUGGCCCUGUGCACCCUGCCAUCCCGCAGCCGGCGAGACAGAGAACGGGCUUGGGCCCGGGCAGGAGGGCUGCCGCCCUCACCUCUUCUCCCAGGAGGACAGGGAUGUGGGGGAAGCAGAGGAAUGUGAUUGUGGAGCGAGGGUGCGUUUGACAGUGCUGAAGUUUCGGGAGAGGCCCCAGCUCUCGCCCCCUCAAAACACAACAAAGGUCUGAGAGAGAAGAAUGCGCCCGCCGCCGCCCAGAACCCGUCCUGCAGGCACUGGCGUCCGUCUGUCCGGGGACCUUUAAUGAGCCACCUCAUUCCUAGGGUUGAUUCACCAGCGCCUGGCCCCGGCCUGGCCUCUGGGCUGGCAUUGCACCUUUCUCUGAGCCUGAGUUUCAGGCUCAAGUUGUCGGGGUCUGGCUGUCUACCCAGGCCUGUUCCCCUGCCGCCGGAGCUGUCUGUGCCCACAGGGCUGGGGGUGUGCAGGGGCGAUGGUGAGUUUCUGAUGCAGGCUCACCAGCUAUCGGAGACCUUGGCUGAGAAUUCAAAGCUAGAUGACAGCUUCCAUUUCUCAGUCCAGGUGGAGACAAACAGGAACCUCUACCCUCCUCUGCCUGUCAGUACUGGAUGGUGUGAGCGAGGUCCCCCAGCUGCACCACAGCAGGGCAGGAGACAGCAGUGGGUAUCCACAAAGAAGUUAACACUGUGCCUCGGCCCUCGCGCCAGGGUGCCCGCCCAGAACAGCGCUUCCUGUUGCAGCCCCCACCCGGCCAGGCACAGGCCCAGUGCCUCUGUGGGACUCUGUCCAGGACUUGUUGAAAUGGCCGAUGAUACAAAGGAGCCCCGACUUCACCCAUGGCCAGCUUCCCUCACCAUCCUCCCUGCGGCCAAAGGACUCGCCCUCACCUGUUCUUUCUGAGACAAAUCAUCUGCCAGGUUUCCGCCUCAGGACACCCAAGCUCAGUACAGACAGCCUAGCAGCCUGGUGACAGGAUCCUGGGGGACAGGAUUCUCUCCUUGCCAUGGGGAUGAGGACAAAUUCUCCCUUCAUCCUUGAGAUUGGACUCCC